GAUUUCUGGUAUGGCGCACUUGGCCCGCCAAGGUUACUUGGUUGUGUGCCGGUGUGCGCCUGCCAUCCUUCUGGGGAACGGCUCUACCCUUCACUGGGUGGGAGUCGGUAUCCAGAUCUUUUACUUUGAAAAAAUUAGAGUGUUUAAAGCAGGCUUACGCUAUGAAUACAUUAGCAUGGAAUAAUAAUUUAGGACUUUGGUCUUAUUUUGUUGGUUUCUAGGACUAAAGUAAUGAUUGAUAGGGAUAGUUGGGGGUGCUAGUAUUCAGCGGCCAGAGGUGAAAUUCUUGGAUUCGCUGAAGACUAACUUAUGCGAAAGCAUU
Molecule: ribosomal RNA, 322 nt
Filed under: Cercomonas sp.
Lineage: Eukaryota; Cercozoa; Cercomonadida; Cercomonadidae
Also listed under: 2 other names
Description: SSU rRNA
Rfam family: Eukaryotic small subunit ribosomal RNA (bases 83-322)
Source: RNAcentral